This 644-nucleotide small RNA is filed under the name Pan troglodytes (chimpanzee). RNAcentral describes it as "retained intron". Lineage: Eukaryota; Metazoa; Chordata; Mammalia; Primates; Hominidae. The record is from RNAcentral.
CACGUACAGUGGCCUGGAGCAGGAGCUGGGCACCUUAAGAGAGACGCUGGAGUACCUGCUGCACCUCGGUUCUCCCCAGGACAGAGUGUCUGCUCAGCAGCAGCUGUGGAUGGUGGAAGACACGCUGGCAGGUCUGGGUGGCCCCCAGAAACCGCCCCCACACACUGAGCCUGACUCCCCAUCUCCCGUGCUCCAGGGCGAGGAGUCCUCAGAGAGGGAGAGCCUGCCAGAGUCCUUGGAACUGAGCUCCCCUAGGUCCCCCGAGACUGACUGGGGGCGGCCUCCUGGAGGCGACAAAGACCUCGCCAGCCCUCACUUAGGUGAGCAUCCUGGUUGGGUGGGACUUUACGGAAAUUCCCGUCCUCACCAAGUCCCGUUCUGUCUUUCCAGGUCUUGGGUCUCCGAGGGUCUCCCGGGCUUCCAGCCCUGAGGGUCGCCACCUCCCUUCCCCACAGCUGGGAACCAAGGUAAGCUGUAGGUCCAUCCUGUAAUCCUUGCAUCUGACCAUCAGGGACCCCCACACUUCUGGGAAACAGCUAGGAGUAGAGCGUUCUAAGGCCAUACUCAGAGCAGAGAGAGCACUGCUUGUUAAGAGCAUUGAGAUUGAUUUUUGUCUCUGUCGCUUCUAAGCUGUGUGACUUUGG